GCCAGGCAUGGUGGCACAUGCCUGUAGUCCCAGCUGCUUGGGAGGCUGAAGUGGGAGGAUCACUUGAGCCCAGGAGAUCAAGACUGCAGUGAGCUGUGAUCACACCACUGCACUCCAGCCUGGGCAACAGAGCGAGAUCCUGUCUCAA
This is an unclassified non-coding RNA of Pongo abelii (Sumatran orangutan), 148 nucleotides long. It matches the Rfam family "Metazoan signal recognition particle RNA". From Rfam's summary of the family: The signal recognition particle (SRP) is a universally conserved ribonucleoprotein. It is involved in the co-translational targeting of proteins to membranes. The record is from Ensembl. NCBI's taxonomy places the organism in Eukaryota, Metazoa, Chordata, Mammalia, Primates, Hominidae.